GAUGAACGCUGGCGGCGUGCCUAAUACAUGCGAGUCGAGCGAACAGAUGAGGAGCUUGCUCCUCUGACGUUAGCGGCGGACGGGUGAGUAACACGUGGAUAACCUACCUAUAAGACUGGGAUAACUUCGGGAAACCGGAGCUAAUACCGGAUAAUAUAUUGAACCGCAUGGUUCAAUAGUGAAAGACGGUUUUGCUGUCACUUAUAGAUGGAUCCGCGCCGCAUUAGCUAGUUGGUAAGGUAACGGCUUACCAAGGCAACGAUGCGUAGCCGACCUGAGAGGGUGAUCGGCCACACUGGAACUGAGACACGGUCCAGACUCCUACGGGAGGCAGCAGUAGGGAAUCUGCCGCAAUGGGCGAAAGCCUGACGGAGCAACGCCGCGUGAGUGAUGAAGGUCUUCGGAUCGUAAAACUCUGUUAUUAGGGAAGAACAAAUGUGUAAGUAACUAUGCACGUCUUGACGGUACCUAAUCAGAAAGCCACGGCUAACUAC
Molecule: ribosomal RNA, 494 nt
Filed under: uncultured bacterium
Lineage: Bacteria
Description: partial 16S ribosomal RNA
Rfam family: Bacterial small subunit ribosomal RNA
Source: RNAcentral